UUGGAGGCUGCAGUGAAGCCAUGAUUGCAUCACUGCACUCCAGCAUGGGCAACAGGUCAAGACCCUGAAAGUUAUUGGCAAAGAGUAACUGGCAGAGCAGAGAUUCCAACCCAGGCAAUCUCGCUACAGAGGUGGACUUUACCUCUUCAUGGCAUUCUGAGGCGGCUCCUGCAAUGAAUAAUAGAUUGAUUUCCAAUCGACCAAUGCAAAAGGGACACGUGGUUUUUCUUUUCUAACCAAAGAGAGCAUACGCAUUAGACUGGAAAGACCAGAGUUUCCUAGUGCUAAGUUCUCAGGUUGAGGACUGAGUGCCACUGGAAAUUUCCCGGACGAAAAGCUGCUUGGAGCCUCCAGGGACCGGCAUCCGUAGAGACGAGGUUUCACCAUGUUGACCAGGCUGGUCUCCAACUCCUGACCUCAAGUGAUCGUACUGCCUCAGCUUCCCAAAAUGCUGAGAUUACCAGCGUGAAGCACCGUGGCUGGCAUCAGCAUAUUAAUUGAAGCCUUGUAGAGCUUCACAAAGGUUCCAUUGAAGAUUUGAGGAAGAUGAAGAAGCUGCAACACCUUUCGGACCUUUGGGCUCACACCAUUGAUACUGCUGAUCCUGAUGACCAAUGCCAAUUUGUGUUCUGCAGAUAAAGGGAAUUAAUAAAAGGAUCCUGGGCAGCCCACAUAAGUAUUAGGAGAAUGGAGAUGAAAACUUGAAUGCUGAUCUUCCAAGAACUAUGUCCUAAAAUCAUGCUCAGACCCCCAGUGCUGCAGCCCUACUCAUUGGGGUAGGAGAGACUCCUGCUGUCAUUCACACUGCACCAAGGAUGCAUGCCUUUCUGUGCCAGGAGUCUAGCCUCGCAAACUACCACCACUAUUGAGGGCCAGGUGCCUCUAAUACCACCCUCACCAGCAAAAUGGAUCCCAUGUGGACCUCAUUUUCAAGUUGCUCACGUGUGCAUUGAAGGAAGUGAUAUUAUGAAAGCCAAGAUGAGAUAAGAUUUCCCAAUAAAGGAAGGUGUGGUUGGUCUAUGCUGUUUACUAAGCGUGAAAAAAAAGAACAAUCUGCAAAUGAACUGUGGCUUUUGGCCUGACUACCCCCAAUAAAGACAACUGAAAAAAGAUUUAAAAUAAAAAUAUUUAU
RNAcentral lists this long non-coding RNA (1132 nucleotides) under Homo sapiens (human). Its description in RNAcentral is "HSALNT0342274". Lineage: Eukaryota; Metazoa; Chordata; Mammalia; Primates; Hominidae. The record is from RNAcentral.